CCACCUGGACGUCAAAUGAUUGCCAUCAGAAAGAGACAACUUGAAGAAACCAACAAUGACUAUGAAACAGCUGAUGGCGGCUACAUGACUCUCAACCCCAGGGCACCUACUGACGAUGAUAAAAACAUCUACCUGACUCUUCCUCCCAAUGACCAUGUCAACAGGCUUUAUUGAUUGGGGUGUAGACCGAACUAUCUGGGGUCUGUUUCUUUUCGGUGAUGAAAGUCUUGAGAAGCAAAUAAAACACUCACUUUGUUUUGGAACACAAGUUCUCAGAAAGGCAAACUUCAGGUGAGUCGUCAGUGGAGACUGCUGACUUCCUGCACUGCUAUUUUCCCAGUGCAGUUACCAGAAGGAUGUGACCUUCUCAGAGAAGUCAUUCCAGGCAGAUUAGAACAUGACCGACAGUCUCCUUGAUGGUUUGUACAGCUGAUCUCUCAAGCAGCAAACUCUACCAGCUGUCACUGGUGCUCUCGGAGAGAGGAUUAACCAAGAAACUCAGCCCAGGAACAGUACUGACCUCUACUUCUGGACUCCUGCCUCCCUCUUAAAAAGUCCCUUGAACUUCCUAGUGGGUUCUAACCUGUCAAAGGAGAAAAUAGCCACCUAUGGAGUAAGGGUUUUUAGUUUCUCCUUUUACAAAUGGAAGUUUCCUUUGAAUCAGGCAAGUAACGUUAAAUAGAAGCCAACUUUUAAGUUUCUCUAACACACUGCUAAAUUAUAACACC
This 728-nucleotide small RNA is filed under the name Pongo abelii (Sumatran orangutan). RNAcentral's name for it is "processed transcript". The record is from RNAcentral. Lineage: Eukaryota; Metazoa; Chordata; Mammalia; Primates; Hominidae.